Molecule: small nucleolar RNA, 102 nt
Filed under: Sorex araneus (European shrew)
Lineage: Eukaryota; Metazoa; Chordata; Mammalia; Eulipotyphla; Soricidae
Description: Small nucleolar RNA SNORA72 (ENSSARG00000018863.1)
Rfam family: Small nucleolar RNA SNORA72
About the family: U72 is a member of the H/ACA class of snoRNAs. The snoRNA gene is located in intron 4 of the ribosomal L30 protein gene in human, mouse and chicken.
Source: RNAcentral
UUGGGAAACUCAAGCUAAACAUUCGCUAUGAGACCAUGCAUGUGUCCCCAGGCCUGGUUCUUUACCUACCUAAGUCUGGUCUUAGAAAUGCUGGUGAUAAAA